This 1420-nucleotide ribosomal RNA is filed under the name Salmonella enterica subsp. enterica serovar Ibadan. RNAcentral's name for it is "partial 23S ribosomal RNA". It matches the Rfam family "Bacterial large subunit ribosomal RNA", at positions 97 to 1557 of the family's 2925-position model. Lineage: Bacteria; Pseudomonadati; Pseudomonadota; Gammaproteobacteria; Enterobacterales; Enterobacteriaceae. The record is from RNAcentral.
GUUAUAACCGGCGAUACCCGAAUGGGGAAACCCAGUGUGAUUCGUCACACUAUCAUUAACUGAAUCCAUAGGUUAAUGAGGCGAACCGGGGGAACUGAAACAUCUAAGUACCCCGAGGAAAAGAAAUCAACCGAGAUUCCCCCAGUAGCGGCGAGCGAACGGGGAGGAGCCCAGAGCCUGAAUCAGCAUGUGUGUUAGUGGAAGCGUCUGGAAAGGCGCGCGAUACAGGGUGACAGCCCCGUACACAAAAGCGCAUGUGCUGUGAGCUCGAUGAGUAGGGCGGGACACGUGGUAUCCUGUCUGAAUAUGGGGGGACCAUCCUCCAAGGCUAAAUACUCCUGACUGACCGAUAGUGAACCAGUACCGUGAGGGAAAGGCGAAAAGAACCCCGGCGAGGGGAGUGAAAAAGAACCUGAAACCGUGUACGUACAAGCAGUGGGAGCACAGGUUUACCUGUGUGACUGCGUACCUUUUGUAUAAUGGGUCAGCGACUUAUAUUCUGUAGCAAGGUUAACCGUAUAGGGGAGCCGCAGGGAAACCGAGUCUUAAUUGGGCGUUAAGUUGCAGGGUAUAGACCCGAAACCCGGUGAUCUAGCCAUGGGCAGGUUGAAGGUUGGGUAACACUAACUGGAGGACCGAACCGACUAAUGUUGAAAAAUUAGCGGAUGACCUGUGGCUGGGGGUGAAAGGCCAAUCAAACCGGGAGAUAGCUGGUUCUCCCCGAAAGCUAUUUAGGUAGCGCCUCGUGAAUUCAUCUCCGGGGGUAGAGCACUGUUUCGGCUAGGGGGCCAUCCCGGCUUACCAACCCGAUGCAAACUGCGAAUACCGGAGAAUGUUAUCACGGGAGACACACGGCGGGUGCUAACGUCCGUCGUGAAGAGGGAAACAACCCAGACCGCCAGCUAAGGUCCCAAAGUCAUGGUUAAGUGGGAAACGAUGUGGGAAGGCCCAGACAGCCAGGAUGUUGGCUUAGAAGCAGCCAUCAUUUAAAGAAAGCGUAAUAGCUCACUGGUCGAGUCGGCCUGCGCGGAAGAUGUAACGGGGCUAAACCAUGCACCGAAGCUGCGGCAGCGACGCUUAUGCGUUGCUGGGUAGGGGAGCGUUCUGUAAGCCUGCGAAGGUGGCCUGUGAGGGUUGCUGGAGGUAUCAGAAGUGCGAAUGCUGACAUAAGUAACGAUAAAGCGGGUGAAAAGCCCGCUCGCCGGAAGACCAAGGGUUCCUGUCCAACGUUAAUCGGGGCAGGGUGAGUCGACCCCUAAGGCGAGGCCGAAAGGCGUAGUCGAUGGGAAACGGGUUAAUAUUCCCGUACUUGGUGUUACUGCGAAGGGGGGACGGAGAAGGCUAUGUUGGCCGGGCGACGGUUGUCCCGGUUUAAGCGUGUAGGUGUGUGUUCCAGGUAAAUCCGGUUCACUUUAACACU